RNAcentral lists this ribosomal RNA (876 nucleotides) under Triticum aestivum (bread wheat). RNAcentral describes it as "partial small subunit ribosomal RNA". Lineage: Eukaryota; Viridiplantae; Streptophyta; Magnoliopsida; Poales; Poaceae. The record is from RNAcentral.
AUGAGCCGGAAGGAGGGGGCGGUGGAGGCGGGGGGAGGGGAGGGGUCGUCGUCGCGGGCGGAGGGGGGCGGGGAGCUGGCGGAGGCGCUGGCGCGGCGGCGGCUGUACCGGGAGGUGACGCUGGCGCUGCGGGCCGGGCUGCGCGACGCCGGGGCCGACUUCUCCUUCCUCCGCGCGCGGGGGCUCCGCAGCCUGCUCGGCUUCCUCCGCUCCACCGCCGCCGCGCCCGACGACUCGCAGCUGCUCCUCUUCCGCCACUCCCAGUCCAUCCCCGAUCUCCAAGUUAUUCCAGUUCUCUUUCAGAAUUCAUUGCAUCAACCAAAGGAUCCUGCUGUGACAUUGGACCAUAUAUUUGGAGUCGAACCAACCAAGAUUACGAGCCCCUCAACAGAUUCCGAAAUUGCUCUAGCUCUUCGAGUUUUGGAAGGUUGCUGCCUUUUGUAUAGCAGAUGCACUGCUCUGGCCCACAAGUACAAGGCUGUGCAGGUACUGCUGAAUAUAUUAGCCAGCCGAGGUCCAACUGAGCAAGGGGUGUGCUUAGAUGCUCUGAUAUCGUUGAUGUUGGAUUCACCUUCGAAUCAGAUUGAUUUUGAGGAAUACAGUGGACUUGAAAAGGUUGCUGAGCUUUUGAAGGAUAUUCAAGUGGAAGAACACAUAAGGUUGAAAUGCGGGGAAUUUUUACUGUUGCUCAUCGGGCAUGUUUAUGUGAAGGAAAACACUCCCAUACAUGAGCAGAUGAGAAACUUACUCGGGGAGCAGUGUGCGUCACUCAUAUGGGCAGCGAGCCGGUUUGGAUCCACCCUCGAUGCAGAGCAGAGGCAGAUGGCCCUGCAAAUACAAGCGAGGAGAGUCGUUGAAUCCCUGGAGCCCUACUAG